Molecule: non-coding RNA, 789 nt
Filed under: Pseudogriphoneura sp. ACMJ-2016
Lineage: Eukaryota; Metazoa; Arthropoda; Insecta; Diptera; Lauxaniidae
Source: RNAcentral
AUAAAGUUUUAUUUUAGCUUUAAGGUUUUCUUUUAAUUUAUUUUAUAUGCAAGUUUUUGCAUGAAAUUUAAUUAAUUUUAAAAGUUAUUUAAUUAAAUAUUAAAUUCGCAGUAAUUAGAAUUAUUAAUUGAAGAAAUUCAGAAAUAGAUAUAUUAAAAAGUAUUGGCUAAAUUUGUGCCAGCAGCCGCGGUUACACAAAUAAUACAAGAAAAUUUAUUUAGAAAUGAGUUAAAUUGUUUUAUAAAAAAUAAAUAAAAAUUUAUAAGGUGAAAUUUUAUAUUUUUGAAUUUUUUAAAAUUUUUUAUUGAAGCUUGUAAAAUUUUGAAUUAAACUAGGAUUAGAUACCCUAUUAUAGAAAAUGUAAAUUUAAAAAUUUGAGUAGUAUUAGAUAUGAUCUUGAAACUUAAAAAAUUUGGCGGUAUUUUAGUCUAUUCAGAGGAACCUGUCCUAUAAUUGAUAAUCCACGAUGGAUCUUACUUAAAUUGGUUAAUCAGUUUAUAUACCGUCGUUAUUAGAAUAUUUUAAAAGAAUAAUAAUUUUCUAAAAUUUGUAUAAAAAUAUAUAUCAGAUCAAGGUGUAGCUUAUGUUUAAGGAGAGAUGGGUUACAAUAAAUUUAUUUAAAUGGAUAUAAAAAUGAAAUAAUUUAUUAAAAGUGGAUUUGAUAGUAAAAUUAUAUAGAUAAAUAAUUUGAUUUUAGCUCUAAAAUAUGCACACAUCGCCCGUCGCUCUUAUUAUUAAGGUAAGAUAAGUCGUAACAUAGUAGAAGUACCGGAAGGUGUUUCUAGAAAG